Molecule: long non-coding RNA, 906 nt
Organism: Cavia porcellus (domestic guinea pig)
Lineage: Eukaryota; Metazoa; Chordata; Mammalia; Rodentia; Caviidae
Exons: 3
Source: RefSeq, a predicted model, not a curated record
UGGUCUUUCUUCUUGAAUGGCUCUAACAGGUGAGUCACCAGCCAAGGAAUCGUCUUCACACUGGGGCUGUUUCCAAAGACCACUCCAUUCCCAUGGUAACUUGCCGGGACAUUGACUGCUCCCCGUAAUACCCUAGACACAAGGAGGAUGACUGAAAAUUGUAAAAUGAGUGAAGAUAUUUGAGCCACAGGUGCCGAAGUGGCUAGGGGUUUCCUGUACAACUGAAUUUGGAGAUGCCUUCACACUGGGAAGCCAUAGAAGAAUGCUGGUUCCUGCUCAACAAUCAGAAGAAACGGUCACUGUAAAAUUAGUGUCAGAGUGGGCCCUGCCACCUUUGCAAUUUAAAACAAGGCAACAGUGGACUGUGCCAUUUUCCCAGUUAUGAGCUCUCGGUUUGAGCUGAUCAAUUCCAUGCAAAAAAGAGAGUGUCAGAGAGGUGUGUGCUAUUGGAAGGUGGGAGCUGAUGGGAAGAGGUGUGUCAUGGGAAGAGAUGUGUCACUGGGGUCAUGACCUGGAAGAGUAUAUUCCAGUUUCCUGUUCCUCCACUUGCUCCUUCUUUGUGGACAUCAUGACUAGAGUGGUUUUUCUGGAGCACAUUCUUCCACCAUGGUAUUUCUGUGUUUGAAACUAUGGACUGUGGAUGAAAACUUCUGAAGCAGUGAGUCAAAGUAAACUUCUCUUUAAAUUGUAGAUGGUGGAUAUCUUGUCUCAGAUAAGACAAGUAACCAGGAAAGAAUUGAGGACAGUAGAGAUAACACCAGAGUAUGUACUGUUUGUUCUAAAACUAAUGCUUUUGAGGUCCUUCUAUCCUCUGCUUCCUCACUUUGUUCUUCCAUCAGAGACAAUCAGUUUGUUGAUUAUUAUUGUUUUAUUCUCUUGGUUUUAUAUUUGUUUUUCUCUGUGUAU